Molecule: long non-coding RNA, 1565 nt
Organism: Myxocyprinus asiaticus (Chinese sucker)
Lineage: Eukaryota; Metazoa; Chordata; Actinopteri; Cypriniformes; Catostomidae
Exons: 4
Source: RefSeq, a predicted model, not a curated record
GUUUAGGGAAGAAGCUUGGCUUCACUAUAGACCUGGGGAAGCUUAAUUAUGUGUCUUUAGGACAGGGCCAGGAAUCAGUGGCUGAACUGGCAAUGGAUAAGGCUUUCAAAAGAGGGCCACUGGGUCAUUCUACAGUGGCUGGGCAGUCUCAAGGAGCUUCUAGAGCAUUGCUGUGAGAACAGUCACCAAGACUACAGAGUGUUUAUGAGUGCAGAACCUUCUCCAACCCCUCAGAUGCUGCCCCACGAAAGCCCUGUGCAUUACGGGCUGCAUCCAAACGCUGAAACUGAGUUUCUGACAGUGACAUCAGACAACCUCUUCCACACUCUGCUGAAGCUGCAGUCCCAAGACUCCAACAUGGGCGAAGGAGCCUCACAGACUACUGAAGAGAAGGUGAAAACCAUCUUGGAUGACAUCUUGGAGAAAUUACCCGAAGAGUACAACAUGUCUGACAUCUCAUCCAAAACAGCAGAGUGAUCGGCGUACAUUCUGGUGUGUUUCUAGGAGUGUGAGCGUAUGAACAUGCUUAUCUACUUGGGGCCGAAGGUGAGUGUGUGUGUAUGUUUGUAUUCUGUUCCAGCAGGUCUAAUCGGCCAAUGCACAACCUCGAGGAGAUUUUUAGCAGUCUGCCUUUAAACAAAGUUGUAUUUACCUGGAUCUGAGUUGCUACAAUAGGUGCUUUCGAAGAAAGUACUAAUCACUGCAUUUGCCAAAAAUUGCCAGGUCUGUGGCAUCAAAUCUUUGAAAGGAAUUCAUAGUAAAAAUCUAGUUUACUUAAUAAAAAGUAAACUAGAUAUUCACAGGCAUAACUGUAUAUUCCACUUUGUUUUCCACUGUUUUUUUAUGAAACAUCUUUUUAAUUUUGAACAGACAAAUUCUGAUCACAAGUCUACACACAUUUGUCACAAAUUGCUUUGGUACAGACGUUCACUGAGACUGCUGCACGAUUUGAAUUUUUCCACACUGGUCUAUUAGUGUGGUGUCAUUGAUUUCGAAUGGCAUGCCAAAACAAAAUUAAUUUUGGUUGCUUUACAUGUUGAUCAGAUCCUGACUAAGAGGAAUAUUCCAGGUUCAAUACAAGUUAAGCUCAAUCAACUGCAUUUGUGGCAUAAUAUUAAUUUUGACUUAUUCCUCCUUUUCUUUAAAAAAGCAAAAAUGGAGGUUACAGUGAGGCACUUACAGUGGAAGUGAAUGAGGCCAAUUUUUGAAGGGUUUAAAGGCAGAAAUGUGAAGCUUAUAAUUCUAUAAAAGCACUUACAUUCAUUCUUCUGUUAAAACUCGUGUAUUAUUUGAGCUGUAAAGUUGUUUAAAUUUUAAUUAUUACAGUCCUUUUAGGAUUUUAUGGUUUGUUGACAUUACAUCGUCAUGGUAACGAAGUUGUAAAAUUGGCUAUAACUUUACACAGAAAAGGUUGGUAAGCUAUUUUAUCAUUCUAAAAUCAUGUUUACACGCAUAUUGUUUAUGUCUUGUGGUUAUACUUGUGAAACAGUGAUUAUUUAACGUUCAAAAAUUUGCCCCCAUUCACUUCCAUUGUAAGUGCCUCACUGUAACCUCGAUUUCUGUUU